UCCGUAGGGAAGCUGGGGAAUGGUCACCUGCGUAACCGUUAGCGUAUUUGCAGCAUCGAUGAAGAACGCAGCAUCCGUAGGUGAACCUGCGGAAGGAUCAUUA
This 103-nucleotide ribosomal RNA is filed under the name Olpidium brassicae. Its description in RNAcentral is "partial 18S ribosomal RNA". The record is from RNAcentral. Lineage: Eukaryota; Fungi; Olpidiomycota; Olpidiomycetes; Olpidiales; Olpidiaceae.